Molecule: long non-coding RNA, 2034 nt
Organism: Cloeon dipterum
Lineage: Eukaryota; Metazoa; Arthropoda; Insecta; Ephemeroptera; Baetidae
Exons: 3
Source: RefSeq, a predicted model, not a curated record
ACCUCUGCAACAAAUGAUUUGUUUUCACAUUGUAACUCCAAAUCCUUUAUUUGAGAGCAUUUAAAUUUAUUUAAAAAUUUAAAGAACCUUUGACCGUUUUUAGCCAAAUCUGCUGCUGCGGGCCGCAUAUAUUUGACAAUUUUUCCCAAUAAAAGUCCCCCAAACAUGGCAUCUUCCCGCACUUAUUUUGAUCAUCCAGAACGUCAAGAUGUGCCAAUAAGAAUAAAACCAAUUUUUGAAUUAAUUAUCUGGAUGGGAGUGAUAAUUAAAGUGAAGUCAAAUCCGUGCAAUUUAGAAUUUUACUCACUUAAUUUACCCCCUCCCCAGUCAUGUAUAUAUUAAUAGUUUACAUUUUAGAAUAUUGUAGACCAUUAUUAAAAAUUCCCCAGCCCAUCCAGAAGAAUAAGUUUUAACGAAUAAUUAUUUUGGCACUAAAGACAAAGAGAUUAGAAUUAAACACAUAGAUUUCCACUUAAAAGACAAGGGUAACUUUUUAUCUGACAUCUGAUAUGAAAACAAACAUUCAAAAUGUUGCCGCCCUUAGUUCCCUUAGUUAGCCGCACUUAGACCCUUUUAGUUAUCACACACACACACACACACCAAGUUAGGGGAUUGUCGCGCCUGAGGCAGGAUCCACCUUCAGACUCCUCCCUCCAGCAACGACAGAGGGGUAAAGGGUAUAAAAGUCUGCCGACGCACUACUCAAGGCAGAAGCGAGCUGCCACUUCCCUGGAGAGCUUGCCACCUACCUAGAGAGGAGAGACUACUUUCUACUUGGUCUAGGACGCUUCCCUGAGAGCCAGGCUGAACGACUUCCCAUCUAAACCUAGGAGAUCUUGGAGAACAGACUUCCUGAGACGAGCCCCAUGCAGACCAGUACGGACCGUUAAGGGGGACACCUGUGGCAGGCGACUCCCGGAAAGAAACUAGCUUCGAGUGAGGAGGGAACACAACUGCAUCAGUCACUGCCUGAGUGCUCAGGACCUGACUUGUGAUGCAGCCAACGACCUAGGAGGAGAAGCUAAUUGGGCACUGUAAACACCGGUGGGACUUCAUUUAUUCGAGGACUGGCCUGAGAAGAGAACGUUGGAAGAUUUUCUGGCCGGUGUGGAAAGCCUAAUUCUCCUCCAACCUAACCUGACACCUGCAGGGCUAAGAACUGCUAUGGCCACCUGGAUGACCGAACACCGACUGGAGCGCGAUUUCCUCGAGUGCGAGCAACAGAGCUCUGACUCCGUGACAAGAUACUAUAAGAAUCUGACGGGCAAAAUGCGGAAACUUCGUUCUGCCUAUCCCCAGGGUCGUAUCCCCUCACACUCGUGGGACGAUCACUGGGACGAUCGUGCAAUGACACAGUUUAUAAAUGGCCUGAAGUCAGCUAUACAACUGAAAAUUUGCAUGUUUGAACCGAAAACCCUGACGGAAGCGAAACGGUUGGCGUUAAGGGCGGAAAAAAUGAUUGAGUUUUACCAGGAGAGGGAAGAAGAAGAGCUGCGAGCAGCGCAAGUUUCAAUUUACUCUACUCAGUUGCCUGCCAUGCCGCAGUAUCGACAAGUAAGAUUUAAUCCCCUUCAAGCAACAACCAGCACGAGCGCUAGCGAACCUCGCGUCACACCAAACCCAUACCAUCAUACCAAAGCCACCACCAGGACUCGACACUGAGCCCCUAUCGAGGGCGCUCACCAAGAAGGCAGGACAACGAUCAGCCGAAAUUUUUUGUGACCUCUGCAAUCGGACAGGACAUUGACUACAGGACUGCGAAUAUUUAUAUUGCGGGAUCUGUGAACAGCAGGGACACUGCCCUUCUGAAUGUUUAUAGAUAACCCAAAAAACGAGUAAAAUUUGCUUCUCGCCCUCUUGCUGUUCGCGCCGCUCGCUGGAAGAAUGGACGCGGAGGGAGGCAAACUCUGAAGGUUCUGUACAAUAAAACAAUAGGAUGUGUUUCAUAUAUACGAUUACUAAUAGUCUGGGCCCACUUCGGCUUUGUCCCCCAGGGCAGGGUCUUAGUCACUUGUUUUCCUAAAGUGUCGCCCU